This is a long non-coding RNA of Syngnathus acus (greater pipefish), 1356 nucleotides long. RefSeq lists it as uncharacterized. The record is from RefSeq and is a predicted model, not a curated record. The transcript has 2 exons. Lineage: Eukaryota; Metazoa; Chordata; Actinopteri; Syngnathiformes; Syngnathidae.
AACUGUACAGCGAUAACAAAAGACUGUCAAAGUAUUCAGACUUGGGUAUGCCUAUAGGCCAGGUGUCGCCCGUGCCAAAAAACGCUACAGGUAGGCCUAUUAAAAGUCUAUUUGUACUUCUUGACUUCCAACCAUUAGUUGACAUGUAAACAAAGAUGAUUUAGAGGCCCCCUUUGUGACUGCAUUGACCUUUUCCCGUUGACUUAUAAGAUGAUUGGCAGUAAUUGUUUUAUAGUUCUAGAGCUGGUCAUAUUUUUAUUUUAUUGAACCUUUAUUUACACAGGCAAACAAUUAAGAACAAGUUCUUAUUUACAACUGCGGCCUAUGGAGCCCUAUCCCGACUUUAGGCGAUAGUCACACAUACUAUAGACAAACAACUAUUCACACUUACAUUUACACCUAAGGGAAGAGAGACAGUUAAACCAGCAUGCAUGUUUUUUCAACAUGGGAGGAAGAAUGGAUAAAGUUUCCAUUGCCAGGAAAUCUAGACUCUUGCUGAAAGCCCAAGCAUUGUGGUUGUUCCAAAUACACAAAGUGUAAUUGUCUUUAUUUUUUUAUUUGGCAGUAAACUUGAAGUUGGGGUGGCAUUUAACGUAUUGAAGUAUUUUUUGAACUCAUUUUCAGUGUUUUAAGUGCUGCUUUUUAUGAAAUGAACUGAUUGGAAAAUCAAAAGUCAAGUCACUCGUUAUGUUAGGGCAACACAUACUGUAUUUAGUUUAUUUCAAACUUCUAUUAAAAUGUGAGGAAACUUUCUGAGCUUUGCAGGAAUCAUGAUGCAAUUUGUGAGUCUUUGUCGUGAUUCAUCUGUCACAAUGUUUUGAGAGCAAUGCGGAAUCACGCCUCCCUCCUCGCAAUGCUGGUCUGCUUAUUUAGACGUCAAUCUUUUGUCUUCUUUAUGCCUGCAGGACCGGUCCGUCCGGGUUUUCGUAGUCUCGUGCAUACGGAGAUAACCUGAGCUCUUGGUUGCCAUGGAAAUGAGGAGGAAAUGAUCCGCCUCAACCUCCCAGCAUCCAUCGGGGUUGAAGGUGUCUCAUGUUUCACCUUCAAUGUACAGUAAAUGAUCCGACAGUGAUUCAGGUGGCUCUCCUCCCUUAUCGUCACUGAUGAAGCUUUACAUCCGUCCGACAGAAAGCUUAAGAGAGGAGACUUUGCCCCUCUGGGCUGGCUGCUGUGGGAAACGGGCCAUGAUCAAUCAUUAAACUGAAUGGACUCAUAAAAGAAGACAUCUUACACUCCACUCAGUUGUCAUUAUUUUAAGAUCACAACCUUCUGACUUGGAAGUUUUCUCAACUUCACACUCAUUCAUUCCAGCCAGAUUUCUCUGGACUGCUUUAUUGCGACUCAUCAAACUCCUGA